Non-coding RNA from Paramuricea clavata, 207 nucleotides. NCBI's taxonomy places the organism in Eukaryota, Metazoa, Cnidaria, Anthozoa, Malacalcyonacea, Plexauridae. The record is from the annotation of a GenBank genome assembly.
UAACAUUAAUUGCAAAACAGCUUCUGCACAGAGUUUUUCCAGCAUGUCUUCGUUUAAACUGUUAAUUAAGCAAAGAUAUAUAACACAGUUUGGCACACACUUCGACAUCGACAUGACGUGCACAUGGACACUGUCUCAUGACCGUCUCUGACAUUGAACUAGGCAUAUAGUUAUAUUUACUCUUAUAUCAUAAUUUUUAGGUUAGUU